RNAcentral lists this ribosomal RNA (450 nucleotides) under uncultured bacterium. RNAcentral describes it as "partial 16S ribosomal RNA". It matches the Rfam family "Bacterial small subunit ribosomal RNA", at positions 354 to 796 of the family's 1533-position model. The record is from RNAcentral.
GUGGGGAAUAUUGGACAAUGGGCGAAAGCCUGAUCCAGCCAUGCCGCGUGUGUGAAGAAGGUCUUCGGAUUGUAAAGCACUUUAAGUUGGGAGGAAGGGCAGUAAGUUAAUACCUUGCUGUUUUGACGUUACCGACAGAAUAAGCACCGGCUAACUUCGUGCCAGCAGCCGCGGUAAUACGAAGGGUGCAAGCGUUAAUCGGAAUUACUGGGCGUAAAGCGCGCGUAGGUGGUUUUGUAAGUUGGAGGUGAAAUCCCCGGGCUCAACCUGGGAACUGCCUCCAAAACUGGAUGACUAGAGUACGGUAGAGGGUAGUGGAAUUUCCUGUGUAGCGGUGAAAUGCGUAGAUAUAGGAAGGAACACCAGUGGCGAAGGCGACUACCUGGACUGAUACUGACACUGAGGUGCGAAAGCGUGGGGAGCAAACAGGAUUAGAUACCCGUGUAGUCC